CCCCUCCUCCUCCUCCUCCUUCUUCUUCUUCUUCCCCUACAUCUCAUUGAAACUCUCUAGAGCAUUGCCAUGGAACUCCAGCAUCUUUCACUCACUAAGCCCAACUGUUGAUUGGGUGUGUGGGUGGAUGGGUAGGGGGUUGUCUCAGCAGCUUUUGAGCACCAGUGAGUACCUUCCUCAGCAUCAUGUGUCAGCCACAGGCCACCAAGACUCUGGGUGUGGGCUGGGAGCCAGGACAAGAACACGUUGGUACUUCUCAGCUCUGCACUGUCCGGACUCUGCUGAGCAUGUGUAAAAUGCUUUGAGCAUUAGGUGACUGGCUACCUGUAAAGUGAUAAUAACAGGUAAUUAGUUGCUCAGUAAGUGUGUAGUUUACGUGUUUUAAAGGCGUCUUUCCCGUUAUUGUUAUGUAUGGAUGUAGAAGUGUCUCCGUCAUCAUGUACCCAAUUUAUAAAAACUAAUAGACACCUAGCACUCACUGGGUGCCAGGUGUGGUUCUAAGCUCCUUACAAUGAGUAUUGCCUCAUUUAAACCUCCAACAACCCAGUGAGUCAGGGGGCAGUUGCUCCUUCUCUUUCAUAGACAGCAACAAGCAAAGCAAAAUAGAACAGCCAACGAAUAGGGCAAUUAAAUCCAGUUAAGUGGCUGACUUAAGGUCAUACCACUAAAAGUGAGAGUGUCAGGCUUCACACUCAGGAACCCAGAGAGUCUGCAGUUUGACCACUGUGCUUUGCCGAUGCGUGUUAUUCCUGUUUUGCUGGACACUCUUUUUUUUUUCUUUUCCAGGAAAGGUUAAAGUUUUUUACUUAAUGAUCUUCCUGUAAGCAAAGUGCAUAGUUCCGAAGUGUGGAACAUACACAUUUGUACAAACCAGUCCACAAGACCAGACGAAGGGAGGCAGAGAUUCCUGGGUGGCCCUUGCUGUUCCUUUCAUAGUUUGGCUUUUCACCCAUGGCCCAGUUUUCCAUUUUGAGGAAUGGGGUGUCCUGGGCACAUUUUUUUCUGCUUCUGUCAUCUGUGGUUCAGCAGUACAUGUUUGUGUGAUGGCCUGCAUGGUGACAGGAGCUGGAGACUUCUCACUCCCACUGCCUCACGUGGCUCUGCGUGUGGUGUUUACCAUGGGUAGCAUUUGGGACCUUUCUCUAGUGCUGGUGAGUACAUCCCACCCCAUGCCUUUCAGUGAUCAUGGCAGUUGACUGGGACUCGUGCUGCAUUUAGCAUCUGUAGCGAUGGUCUCACCGUUAGUGGGGCAUUGACUAUUAGGGCUGAGAAGUGAAACAGAAGUUGGGCAUUUCUCAAGUGAUUUCUCCUUCUGAUGGGCCAAUGAAAGUAGCACAAGUCACUUAGCCCCAGGAAAAGUCGAAACCACCAGGGGCUUAUCUGUGGGGUCUGCUUAAGUAUCCCACUUUUCUGUCAUUUCAGCAGGCUGUCCUGUUCCUUCCAAGAGAGCUGAGAGCUCAGACUACGAAAUACUGGCUUUUUUUCUAUUUUAUUGGGUUCGUAUAUCUACCACCUUUCUACCCUUUCUAACCCAUCUUCCACCCUAAUCCUUUCCAACUGUCCCCCCAUCCAAUACUAGGUAGGGAAGACAGAAUGUUAGAAAGGAAAGGGGAAGUAGAUAUCUUUAGACUAUUUCCUGCUGGUUAGGGUCAUUGGAUUCCUAGCCCUAGCAGCAAGUCCAAUCUUUGUUGUUAAACUAUCAAGCAGUCCAGCAAUAGCAAACCAGCAAACCCAAUAGCAGGAGCCAGCAGCAGCAGUAGGGGCAGCAUCAGCUGCAGCAUCAGGGGCACACGCCCUUGGGCCUCUCCUAUUUAUCCUCUUCCCAGAGUCCCCGGAAUUAAACUAUCUGCAGCAGGCAAAAACCAUGCCCCCUCCUAGUGCCUGGGACAUACACAGUUAAUGGCUGUGGACAAACUGAAGUAGUCCUAUAUGUCCCAUACCUGGGAUCAAAACACAAGCACAUCCUAUAGUGAAACUGGGUUUUUAAAACACAAAAACAAAAUCCUCAUUACAUCGGGCUCUAUGACAUUGUGAUGGAGCCUUGGAGCUAAGAAACUCAGCUCAAAGCAGAGCUGAAACUGUUCCCUCCUGGCAAAAGCCUAGCCUCUCAAGAGCCAGAGUUCUCUGUGGGAGGCCAUGGGCUCAUCCACUUGGUGACCAAACCCUGAAAGAGCAUUCUGGGUGUGAUGAAUUAUGUGACAGGCCAGCCAGCUCCUGCCCUUUCUCAGCCUCAGGCUCUCCUCCAAACUCUCCAAGGACUGCACAAGAAUGAGCCAAUUUAAAAAGUUAUCUCCAGAACUGGAAAGGCUCAAGUAGGGGUUGAAGGUACUGCAGGUGUCCAGGGAGGGGGUCAUGUGUGCCCCAUUUAUUGACUGAGAAGUAGCCAUCAAGCAAAGUUGGACCCUGGAGUGGGUGAGCCUGCACAGUGUUUUCAUGCUCGCCUGUGGCUGGAUUAGGAGUCUUAUUUUUUUGAGUUAAGGGGGCCGUAGGACAUGCUAUGCUUUCCGGUUAGUCCUGUUGGGAAGCUGAAGAUGGAAAAGAUUCAUCACCUCAUCUGCGGAGAGGGGAGAAGAAAUCGCAUUCUAGAACAUUCCCCAACAGUGAUAGAGGAUUAGGCCUCCUUUUAGCUUUUUGCCUCCUCCUUUGUUUUCUCUCUGCAACUUAAAAGUUCUGAACCUGAUUCCGAAGCAAAUCAGGCCCCAAACAGGGACUGUGCUUUCCAUGGGGUUUUAUAAGGCUUGGAAGUCCUGCAGUGCAAGUGAUUAAUGAGGCUGGGGCUUUCUCCAUUGUGUAAACCAGAGGAAGGAAGGAAGAGCACUUACCAGGAGAGGGUGUUCAUGUGCUGGGCCCUUGCACUUCAAAUCCCCUUGGGAGGGAAGCUGAAUCCUUGAGCCCAGGCCCCAGCUGGAUUGGCUCUGGUGAGCCGGAUGGGGCUAUGACCUGGGUCGGGUCAUCAAGCUGUGACCCUGGGUCAUCUGGGCUGUGCUUUGAUGGUCUGUCACCACAUCAGCCCAGGCCCAGGGAACUACUCUGCUGAUGUCAUCUCCCAGGUCUGCAUCCUUUUCACUAGCGUUUUCAAGAGAGAAGGAAGGCCAACAUAAGAACCCAAAGAUCACGGCUCUCUACAGGCAUUCGUCAACAAGAGAUGAUGGUGGUUAACGAGCGCAGACACAGCCUCGUUGUGUAGUUAUCUGAAGACAGGGGCUGGAUACUUCCCCUUUACGUUUAGAGCUUUAGUUAGAAGAUAUAGAGUGGGAGUUUCAAACAGACAGCUCUGCCUUCCUGUCUGUCUAGGGUUGACUCUGAAUCUAGUUCUACAGGGCUCCUUGGGUAGGGGAGGGAAGACGUCUGAGGCCAUCCAGCCCCUUGUCCUCAGUGGUCACCCACUCAUUGUUGACCUUAUUGGCUUUUGCUUUGCUCCUGGACUUGAUUUCAAGCUUUUUGGGAUUACCCUGCCCCAAGUCCUGAGUAAGCACACUGUACCAAGGCUCUCCUUACAGGAUCUGCCUUCAGGAGCCUGAAUCAGGACAUAGGCUUAAUAGCUCAGAUCUGUUAUAGAGUCUCCAACCCCAACUGGCCACGCUUCAGCCAGUUUAUUUAAAAUCCCAAAGUAACAUCUGUUGUUGCUCUUUGUAGACAGAGUCUCCCACCUCUCUAGCCUGCAUCUUGCUAUGGGGGACCAGGCAGGCCUGCAACUGGUAGCAGUUCUCCUCUGUCUACCUUCUUCAGAACGGCACUUUCUCAGCUCUGAGUAGAUGGGAGGCCACCAUGAGGUAGGAGGGCCUCUGGUAUUUUUCUAAAUUCCUGCUGAGGCGGGACAUGGAAACAUCUAGGGAUCUGCUUUUGAGUGUGAAGAGAGAUUUCCCUGGAGGUUUGCUCUCCACUUACAAAGUCACUUAAGUGGGUGGAGACAUGUGUAUGGUGACUGCAGGCCCUGGCAUGUGAAGACAAGAAAUAUGAGUGCUUCUAACGGUAGGAAGGGAGAGCCUUUUGCUUGUGUCAGGCUAUUUCCAGGGAUAGAGGGCACGUCCCUGAAGCUAUCCUGAUGAACAGUAUCCUCCUCUCCACCUCCCCAAAGGAGUUCUUGCACCUGUUGCAUGAGGCCUAGUGGUUGGAGUCAUGGGGAACAGGAAAAGGCAAAGUGAGCGAAGGGUUCAUAGCCAGGGCUGUGGAGUAGGGCUACCUGAACCCAGGUUCCACCCCUUCCUGUAUGAGUGACAUUUGAGCAGUUCCUUGCCAUCCCUGUGUCUCAGUGCCUGCAUCUGUAGUGUGGGAAACCCUCACAGGUUUAUGCCACUAAAAUGGCAGCUCAUGACAACCAUCCCUAAACAGAGGAGGUGAAUGUUAACUUUCCAUCUUUUCUAACUUUUUUUGGUAUAAUGUGUAUGAAAUAUUCUUAGUGCUAUUAGAAAAUUAAAAGGCAAGUUUUGUUUGCCUUUUUGUUUUUCUUUGAGACAAGCUCUUUCACUAUAAAGUCCAAGCUGAAAAUCAUGACCUUUGUACCCCAACUUCCUGAGUGGAUGAUAGAUGAACUCUACCACAUCCAGCAAAAGAUAGUUUCUGAAAGACCGAUGGACACUGAAUAAGAAGGAGGAGGAAGACAGGGAGGGUAGAAUUUGAAGUUAACCAGCAGCCACUUUGGUGGCAUGUAGCCAAAAGUCUAUCCAAGCCUUCAUUCUCUGUAGCAGUAUCUUGACUGCUCCAGGUCUCAGGAGAACCAUGGAAGACUGCACUGUCAUGGGAAGCAAGGCACUUUCUAACUCCCUAACUGUGGUGGUGGCAGUCAUGUUUAUAUUGCUAGAAUCAGCUACCUGAUAAAAACAGUUUAGAGAUGUGUGUGUGUGUGUGUGUGUGUGUGUGUGUGUGUGUGUGUGUGUGUGUGUGUGUGUGUGUGUGUGUAGGGUACUUUUGAUUAUGGAUUGGGAGUUUGCAACCCAUCUUGGUGAGGAAAUCAUGGUGAUUGGAGCUAAAAGGGGUUGGUCAAUGAUGGUAGGAGCUGGAAUGGGGUUGGUCAAUUGUGAUUGGAGCUGGAGGGGUUUGCUCUGUGAUGCUGUGAGCUGGAGAGGGUUGCUCUAUAGUGGUGUGAGCUGGAGGGGGUUGCUUUAUGGUGGUGUGAGCUGGAGGGGCUUGCUCUAUGGUGGUGGGAAGUGGAGGGAGUUGCUCUGUGGUGGUGGGAGCUGAAGGGGAUUGCUCUGUGGUGGUGGGAACUGGAGGGGGUUGCUCUGUGGUGGUGGGAGCUGAAGGGGAUUGCUCUGUGGUGGUGGGAACUGGAGGGGGUUGCUCUGUGGUGGUGGGAACUGGAGGGGGUUGCUCUGUGGUGGUGGGAGCUGGAGGGGAUUGCUCUGUGGUGGUGGGAACUGGAGGGGGUUGCUCUGUGGUGGUGGGAACUGGAGGGGGUUGCUCUGUGGUGGUGGGAGCUGGAGGGGAUUGCUCUGUGGUGGUGGGAACUGGAGGGGUUGCUCUGUGGUGGUGUGAGCUGGAGGGGGUUGCUCUGUGGUGGUGUGAGCUGGAGGGGGUUGCUCUGUGGUGGUGUGAGCUGGAGGGGCUUGCUCUAUGGUGGUGGGAACUAGCAGUGUGGCUUCUCACAGGUGAUGACUGGGAAACAAAAGGGCUCAGUGGAUUAAAACUCCACUACUGUGCCUUACAUCUUGAAGGUCUUAUAACCUCCCCCAAACAGCACCACCAGCUAUUCAAACAAGUGAGCCCUGGAGACAUCCCAACUGUCACAUUCUCUGAGUGCAGACUGAGGGGGCAGUGAUGGAUGGAUGAGGAAGGGCGCAGCCCGACCAGGAGGAUUCUCGGGAGAGCAGGACUGAGACAAACCCAGGCGACAGGAUCUGAGGAACCCUGAGGCUGCAAACAGACACUCUACAGGGGGCCUCCAUUUCUCCAUUUCUCCUCUAAGGUAGUUCCCCAUGUGGCUUACAAAAGGAGAAACAAAGACAACCAGACUUGGUGGCACAUGCUCACCAGCCCAGCGUGCUGGAGGCUGGAGGAAGAGCCUUGCCUUGUUAUUUAACAUCCGUGUAAGCUAUGUGUGUGAUGAGACCCUGGAGGGAGAGGAGGGGUGAGGGGAGAAAGGAGAGACAGAAUGUGAAUGCGAUGCUCAGUUGGCUCCAUUCCUGGUUUUAGCAGCUCUGAUGGGCUUCUGAGUCUGUGACAGGGAGCCCAAGAUGAGGAAUAUCUCUGCCUGCCAUAUUUACUGCUCCUCGGAACCACAGAAAAAGUAUAUAAAAGAGAAAGGAAGGAAGGAAGGAAGGAAGGAAGGAAAAAGAAAGAGAGAAAGAGAGAAAGAAAGAAAGAAAGAAAGAAAGAGAGAAAGAGAGAAAGAAAGAGAAAGAAAGAAAGAAAGAGGGGGAGGAAGAAAGAGAGAGAAAGAGAGAGAGAGAGAGAGAGAGAGAGGAGAAAGAAAGGGUGAAAGAAAGAAGAAUAAAGAAAUAAAAUACAACAAGAACAAAACUAAAUUGUUUUUGAGGUAGAGUCUUGCUAUGUCUUCCAGGCUGGCCUUGUGACCCUCCUGCCUCAGCCUUGUGAGUGCUGGGACUGGAGGCCUGUGACACCAUGUCCAGCUUAAACCAAACAGUCAGAAAAAUUAUAUUUCUCACUUGGCUUAACCCAAAUACAAACUGAGCUCUACGUGGGCUAGCCUUACCUCAGUGCUGUAUUCAGAAAAAAAUAGUCUAAAAUCAAAACUUUAAUGUGUAUGGUCUCUCAUAGGUCCUAAUUUUUGACUUGGGACUAUUGGGAUGCUCUAAUGUGUAUGCCAUUCAUCUCUAGAGAGAUGCUCCCCCUGCCCCCACCUCUCUUCCUUCUCCCAUUUCCUGUAGCUGCCCCAGGCGCACACUCCUCUCCAGCCUCCACCAGCUUCCUCUUCCUCCUCUUCACAGGUCUCCCUUGAUUGCCCCGCUGCCAGAUGUCCUUGGAAUUUCUGCUCUGGCUGAGGCGCUCACUGGAAAGACUGGAGCCUGUGAGAGAUUUUUGCCCAUAGCCCUUCCUCAUUCUUUACAAAGGGAUUCAUGCAGGGAUCGCAGGCUAAGAGAGCAGUCAUGGGGUGUGGCUGGUGAAAGGCCAGAAUUUGGAACCCCAGGUUCUCAUUUUUGUUCACUCCAUGAUACUCUGGGACAAUUAGGAAAUCAGAUCUCUGCAAGAGGAAAGUCGGAAGAGGCUGUAAAUACAUUUACCUGCUCUGACAGCAGCUAGGUCCAGAAGAGUCAACUUUCCACCCGGAUGUUGCAAUAGGGCCAGGUUUGACUCAAGCCCUGAUGGCCAUCGCGCCAUCGUUCUACACAUGUGAGCUUUGGGACAAGAUUGUCCGCAUUGACAUCUUGGCUCUGUCUCUUAUUUGAAUCUAGAUAAAACAGCUUAACUUCCUCUGGAAAGCAGGCUGAGUAAUAGCACCCACCUUAGAAAAUUCCAGUGUGCGUCAUGAGCACUAACCCGGUGUGAAGUGGUCAGAAGAGCAGUCGUCAACGGCCCCACAAGUGUUCACGGCUCUGCCUAGGUAGAGUUCGAGGUGCGAAUCAAGAUUUAAAACCAGUCCAGUCAGAGUUGGUAAGCACAGCUCUGCCUCCUCCCCCCAGCUAAUGAGGGGCCACUAGGGUUAGGAAUAUUCCUUCUUCCUAUUGCAAGCAGCAUCUUAAAGAUCCAUUUGCAUGCUUACAUGCACAGCAGCGACAUAGCCAAAAACAAAACAAAACAAAACAAAACAAAAAAAAACAAAAACAAAAACAACAACAAAAAAAACCGUCUGAGCCACCCAAAGGGACUAGAUAAACAGAACAGGCAGAUGCUGUCACACGCCACAGCUUAGCUAGACCUGAGGACACAAAACCCCUGCAUUGUGCCGUUCCACUUAUGUGGGGCAUUUAUUGUCUUUACAGCCACAGAUACAGAAAGCAGCCAGUCGGUGGCCUUCGAGUUUGGGGUUUGCACAGUGGAAAGCGUUCUGGGUGGUGACUGAAGGCUCACUCAGCAAGGCAAGAAAAUGGAGGUUCAGAGGUCAGGCGACUUGCCUAGGAUCACACAGUUGCUAAGUGGCUCAGCUAGAAUUUACUCACAGGACUGCAUGGAAGGUGAACCUCUAAACCGCGGUGCUGUGGAUUUUCUCUGAAGCUGUCAGGAUGUACAUCCUUAGCCCCCGAGGAGACAUCUUACUCAACUCUGAAGAAUUUCUGGGCAGUUCGGAGCCAGCCUCUGUGCACGCCUGGAGCAGAGCCUGAAUAUGCAGCCCUGGGCAGAUUAGAUCACCUCCUGAGCCUCACUUUUCCUAUCUGCCAAGUGGGGCAAUAAAUGUCUGCUGGGUAGGCCUGUUAUUCAGAUGCAGGGGACCAUGUGGAGUAGCACAUGGCCUGGCAAGCAGAAACUUUUUAAUACAGCUCUAUUUCUCUUUAGAGUUGAAAUUCACAUAAAACUCCAUACCGCUUCACCCCACUCCAGCUCCCAAUUCAGCGUGGUGCAAUACCUUCACAGUGUUGUACAACCAUCUGCUCUGUAUAGUUUCCAGACAUUUUUAUGACUCUUAAAGUAAACCUAGGAGUCGUGAAGCAACUACUUCUCAGCCCUCAUCCCCACCACACCCAUGGAAACUGAUCUGCCUGCUGUUAUAAGGAUGUCCCUACCUUAGAUAGUUGGAAUAAAACGCCUCAUAACUUGAUCUUUUGUGUCUGGCUUCCUUCAUUUGACGUGGUGCACACUGGUCCAUCCUUGUUGCUGUAUACAGUAAAGCCAGGUUCUUCUCUAUGGUGACAAUGUACUAUUGGCUGGAUAUAAUUAAAGAUCUUAAGAAGAACACUUGUUGCCUUUGCAAAGGACCUGGGUUCAGCUUCCAGCACCCGCAUAGUAAUCCACAACAGCAUGUUAACUCUUGUUCCAGGGCCUCUGGUACCCUCUUUUUGCCUCCAUGGGCACACACAUCCAGGCAAAAUACACACACAUCAGAUAAAAAUAAAUAAUUUUUAAAAAAGAAUCAGCCUACUCAUGGGUGCUUGUGUCAUUCUCAGGAUUUGUGUGCCAUGAAGAAUUCCAUUAUGAGCCUUUGUAUAAUCAUUUUUCUGUUGUCGGGAGGCAUCUGCAGGAGUGGAGUCACCGAGCUGUGUGGUAAUAUUGUGUUGAACUUAUUGAGCUAAUUGUAAUUGUAGUUCGUAGCAUUUUGCGCUCACACUAGUGUCUGUUGCUUCCGGUUUCUCUUCCUUCACUGCCUCCUGGCUUUGGGGCUGUGCAGUCAAGCAGGAA
Molecule: long non-coding RNA, 9231 nt
Organism: Mus musculus (house mouse)
Lineage: Eukaryota; Metazoa; Chordata; Mammalia; Rodentia; Muridae
Product: predicted gene, 39223
Exons: 3
Source: RefSeq, a predicted model, not a curated record